This 460-nucleotide ribosomal RNA is filed under the name uncultured bacterium. RNAcentral describes it as "partial 16S ribosomal RNA". It matches the Rfam family "Bacterial small subunit ribosomal RNA", at positions 338 to 795 of the family's 1533-position model. The record is from RNAcentral.
CCUACGGGUGGCAGCAGUGAGGAAUAUUGGUCAAUGGCCGGAAGGCUGAACCAGCCAUGCCGCGUGAAGGUCAGUGCCCUAUGGGCGUUAAACUUCUUUUGUGCGGGAGCAAUAAUGGUCACGUGUGGCCAGACGAGAGUACCGUACGAAUAAGCAUCGGCUAACUCCGUUCCAGCAGCCGCGGUAAUACGGGGGAUGCAAGCGUUAUCCGGACUUAUUGGGUUUAAAGGGUGCGUAGGCUGGGAGGUAAGUCAGCGGUGAAAUGCCCCCGCUCAACGGGGUGAAGUGCCAUUGAUACUGCCUGGCUGGAAUGCGGAUGCCGUGGGAGGAAUGUGUGGUGUAGCGGUGAAAUGCAUAGAUAUCACACAGAACACCGAUUGCGAAGGCAUCUCACGAAUCCGCGAUUGACGCUGAUGCACGAAAGCGUGGGUAUCAAACAGGAUUAGAUACCCUUGUAGUC